GAUGAACGCUGGCGGCGUGCCUAAUACAUGCAAGUCGAGCGAACAGACGAGGAGCUUGCUCCUCUGACGUUAGCGGCGGACGGGUGAGUAACACGUGGAUAACCUACCUAUAAGACUGGGAUAACUUCGGGAAACCGGAGCUAAUACCGGAUAAUAUAUUGAACCGCAUGGUUCAAUAGUGAAAGACGGUUUUGCUGUCAAUUAUAGAUGGAUCCGCGCCGCAUUAGCUAGUUGGUAAGGUAACGGCUUACCAAGGCAACGAUGCGUAGCCGACCUGAGAGGUUGAUCGGCCACACUGGAACUGAGACACGGUCCAGACUCCUACGGGAGGCAGCAGUAGGGAAUCUUCCGCAAUGGGCGAAAGCCUGACGGAGCAACGCCGCGUGAGUGAUGAAGGUCUUCGGAUCGUAAAACUCUGUUAUUAGGGAAGAACAAAUGUGUAAGUAACUAUGCACGUCUUGACGGUACCUAAUCAGAAAGCCACGGCUAACUACGUG
This 497-nucleotide ribosomal RNA is filed under the name uncultured bacterium. RNAcentral describes it as "partial 16S ribosomal RNA". It matches the Rfam family "Bacterial small subunit ribosomal RNA", at positions 28 to 507 of the family's 1533-position model. The record is from RNAcentral.